GUUCUGUUAUUUGCAAUCAGUAACAAAGAUUCAUCCUUGUGUCCGUCAUGCAGCAAGGAGAAUCUUUGUCACUUAGUGUAAUUAAUAGCUGGAC
Macaca nemestrina (pig-tailed macaque) is the source of this 94-nucleotide microRNA precursor. Lineage: Eukaryota; Metazoa; Chordata; Mammalia; Primates; Cercopithecidae. The record is from Ensembl.